RNAcentral lists this ribosomal RNA (253 nucleotides) under uncultured bacterium. RNAcentral's name for it is "partial 16S ribosomal RNA". It matches the Rfam family "Bacterial small subunit ribosomal RNA", at positions 524 to 776 of the family's 1533-position model. The record is from RNAcentral.
UACGUAGGGGGCAAGCGUUAUCCGGAAUCAUUGGGCGUAAAGCGCGUGUAGGCGGUUCCGUAAGUCCGCUCUGAAAGCCCAGGGCUCAACCCUGGGAGGCGGGUGGAUACUACGGAACUGGAGUACGGAAGAGGAGAUUGGAAUUCCUGGUGUAGCGGUGAAAUGCGCAGAUAUCAGGAGGAACACCGGUGGCGAAGGCGGUUCUCUGGGAAUAUCCUGACGCUGAGGAGCGAAAGUGUGGGGAGCGAACAGG